CGCCAGGCAGCACUGCAUGUGUCAGGCUGCUGAACUCAGGCUUGGCUCACAGACGACGCUUGCUACGUUUAGAUACAAAAAAACCUGUCUGAAAACGACGGUUGUUUUUCAUAGCUGAGGUAUUUUGGAGGAUAUGGAUUCAGGUAAUGUUUGAAUUAUGAAUUAACCGGUAAAAAUGUAUAUUGUCAAUACCUGUUCACUUUUUUGCUGAGAGACUCAGAGAAUUUUGUAAAUUUUCAGUGCUAAUAUAUCAAGGUCAAAAAUACAAUUACUAAUAAUUAUCAUGCUGAUUUUGAUGGUACUUAUGAUGUAUUUUAAUGAGUGUUUUUUCUGUUUUACACUAAGGAAAGCCUCAUUAUUUGUGGGGAAAAUGAGAUGAUUGUGGCACAAUUGAAUCCUUGAGCAGAUAUCGAAGCUGGUGGGAGGCUCUCCUUGUGGCCAGUUCCAAACGAAGUGCAGUCACUGACGGUUGGCUGGAGGGGGGCUGAGCAAUGGUGAAGAUCGAGUUGUAUGAAGGCUCUAUGGCAGAGCAUUUAAUGCUGAACACUGCUGUUAGAGAGAAUGCAUUAUUAAUGUGAGGGGAAACUAACGGGGACCAGCAGCUCCUCGGGCUGUGAAGAGGAUGGUUGGCGUCUCUGAGGAAGCAACACCACGCCUCAAAGAAAUCACAGCCCUGAAACUCCAGAUGAAGACUAGACCUUUAUUCUGUACGCGGAGAGAGAGCUGGAGAAUCACCAGGAUGAAUAUGCAAAAUGUUUCAAAUCCCUGAGCUGCGGAGGAUUUU
Molecule: long non-coding RNA, 784 nt
Organism: Cyprinus carpio (common carp)
Lineage: Eukaryota; Metazoa; Chordata; Actinopteri; Cypriniformes; Cyprinidae
Source: RefSeq, a predicted model, not a curated record